UACGUAGGGUGCGAGCGUUAAUCGGAAUUACUGGGCGUAAAGCGUGCGCAGGCGGCGCGUUAAGACAGGUGUGAAAGCCCCGAGCUUAACUUGGGAAUUGCGCUUGUGACUGGCGUGCUGGAGUGUGGCAGAGGGAGGUGGAAUUCCACGUGUAGCAGUGAAAUGCGUAGAGAUGUGGAGGAACACCGAUGGCGAAAGCAGCCUCCUGGGCCAGCACUGACGCUCAUGCACGAAAGCGUGGGGAGCAAACAGG
This 253-nucleotide ribosomal RNA is filed under the name uncultured bacterium. RNAcentral's name for it is "partial 16S ribosomal RNA". It matches the Rfam family "Bacterial small subunit ribosomal RNA", at positions 524 to 776 of the family's 1533-position model. The record is from RNAcentral.